GGGUAUAGAUAGCCCCUACUGAAUUCAAGAUUUAAAAAAUAUUUUCCAGAGUUAUUGACAUAUAAUUGACAUAUCGCAUUGUAUACAUUUUAUAUAAUUUUUACUUGUUUAUUUGUCUGACUGUGCUGAGUCGUCUUAGCUGCGUGUGCUCUCUGCUCUCGUUGCAGAAGGUGGGGGCUCCUCUCUGGUUGCGGUGCGCGGGCUUCUCGCCGCAGCGGCUUCCUUUGUUGCGGAGCACCGGCUCUGGGCGCUCGGGCUCCCGCAGUUGCGGCUCCCGGGCUCUAGAGCGCAGGCUCAGUAGUUGUGGCGCCCGGGCUUCGCCGCCGCUCAGCGUGUGGGUUCUUCCCAGACCCGGGAUAGACCCCCGUGUCUCCUCCAUUGGCAUGCGUGCUUCAUCGCUCAGUCCUGUCCAACCCUUCGAGACCCUUUGGACCCCAGCCCGCCAGGCUCCUCUGUCCAUGAGAUUCUUCAGGCAAGAGUACUGGAGCAAGUUGCCAUUUCCUCAUCCAGGGCAUCUUCCCAGGCUGAGGAUUGAACCCCUGUCUCCUGCGUCUCCUGUAUCGACAGGCGGAUCCGUUACCGCUGCGCUAGCUGGGAAGCCCAGUUUUUAUGCCAGUACCAUGCUGUGUGACUGCUAUAGAUUUACUGUCAAGUUUUAAAUCAAGCACUUCAGCCUCGAGUGCUUGCUCAUCCCUAAUCUCAUCUGAUCCCUAUAACGGCCCAUGAGCUCAUCGAGAACACCCGCCGCCCUCUGACCCGAUGAAAGGGAGGUAAGCGCUCACACGGGCGCACUGAGAGAAAGAGACACAGAAAGGAGACAGGAGGACCCAGAUCUCAGCGGAAAGGCUCAGGAUUAAGUUCGUUCUCCCUGACUUUUCAUCUGCAUCCUUUUAUCGUCCAUCUGUCUGACAUGCGGUCCUGGUCCGAGGUUGCAGGAGGUGGAUGGAGAGUGUUCAUACAGGGCGGGGGGGCUUGGCAGGGGUGGGGUCAGGACUCUGAGCAGCGACAGAGAACACAUCUGGCCAGAUGUGUAAGGAAGACGCCACCGGCUGGCCGAGGACCGUGACCACGCAGUUGGCCACCAUCUCUCCCACGCCUGUGAACCACCCUGCUUCUUUAUUCCUCAUCCCAUAAACCCCCCAGCCCCUUGCCAUGGGGAAGGGAGGCUUGACAUUUGUUUUCCAUCUCCUCGCUUGGCUGCCUUGCCAAUAACCCCGCUCUAUGCUGCGGACCUGGGUGUCUCAGCGGUUUGACCUGCUGUGAGUGGGCAAAACAAACCCGGCUCGGUAACACUGACACCUGUUUCAGCACGGACGGACCUUGAGGACACUCUGCUAAGUGAACUGUCAGUCACGAGAAGACAAAUCCAUGUGAUUCUGUUACAGGAUAGAGUCUUGUAGAGAAGAAGGCUGGUGCCGGCUGCACAAUACCAUGAAUGCGCUUAACUCCACUGACCCUUAUGCUUAGAAUCGGUUAAGACGUGUUUUACCACAAUUGUUAAAGUUUUUAAGUGGGGUGAAGUCACGGAGUGGAUGCAAGCCCUCUGGCCUCAGCCUCCCUCUUCUCCCACUUUGGGCUUUGCAGUUUGACCCGAAUUCCUAACCCACUGGUGAUACUCUGCAGGUCUACACCUGGGGAGGUUUGCCAAUUCUGCUUCCCCUCCCUGGGGUUCUUUCCCUGCUUUUUCCCAUCUUUUGACCGAACCCACUCAAAUGCUGUGAGAUGGUUGGAUGGCAUCAUGGACUCAAUGGACGUUGAGUUUGAGCAAACUCUGGGAGGUGGUGAAAGACAGGGGAGCCUGGCAGGCUGCGGUCCAUGGGGUGGCAAUGAGCCAGACAUGACUCAGCAGUGGAGCAGCGACAGCUCCGAGGGUUGCAGGUGUCUCUCUGGGCCCCCUCUUCAUCAUGCCUGGAUCUCUACAGCCGCCCUCUCCAUGAUGUGUUGGCCACAUGUUUGCCUGUCUACACGUGUCUCCCCAGUAGACGUGGGCUGCGUGGGGCAGGGUGCCUGAAGGAAAACCUCUCGCCUGGUGCCCGCUUCAUCCUGGAACAGCUAAGAUGGUGUUAAUUCCACGGUAGCAGCAGUUUCCUUGACCACCCCGUGUAAGACUCACAGCCACAAACGGAGGUGAAUUCAAAAAAGAUACUGCUGUGAUUUAUGUCAAAGAGUGUUCUGCCUAUGUUCUCCUCUGAUAAGAGUUUUAUAGUAUCCGGUCUUACGUUCAGGUCAUCAAUCCAUUCUGCGUUCAUUUUUGUGUGUGGUGUUGGAGAAUGUUCUAGUUUCAUUCCUUCACAUGUAGCUGUCCAGUUUUUCCAUGUGCUGCAUCUUGAAUGACAACCCAGCAGGACUGAGUUGUCCAUAUCCUGCACUUUCCGAGGAAAGGGCUGAUCUCGACCAGCUCCAGGGAGAUAACCUUGAAGGUCAAGGUAUUUCCGGCCUGAUAAGAGUUCCGUGGGGGCUGUGGGCCACACCAGAUUGUUAAUGCCGACAGUGUGGCUCAUGAAAGCGGUCUUGGGCCGAACCACACCUGUUUGACCUCUAGAGGGGCUGAAGACUGAACAACUAAGGUCAGCCACACGGACAGUCCAUCCUUAUGCGCCUGACCCCCAGCAGCACGCCUGGAAGGCAAGGCCCGGGCGGGCUCCCCGGCUGACACCAAGUCAUGUGCGUCAUCGCACAUCAUUAUCAGGAGAACUAAGAAUCGUCCGUUCCGUUCCACCGGGAAAAGACAGUGGGAAGCCUGCUCACGGACUCUGUCCCACAAUUCUCUUACCUUUGCUAUUUUCAUCGAUAUCCUCUUGCUAUAAUAAACCAUAAUUG
Molecule: long non-coding RNA, 2820 nt
Organism: Bos taurus (domestic cattle)
Lineage: Eukaryota; Metazoa; Chordata; Mammalia; Artiodactyla; Bovidae
Source: Ensembl